CGAGGCCGAAAGGCGUAGUCGAUGGGAAACAGGUUAAUAUUCCUGUACUCGGUGUUACUGCGAAGGGGGGACGGAGAAGGCUAUGUUGGCCGGGCGACGGUUGUCCCGGUUUAAGCAUGUAGGCGGAUGUUCCAGGUAAAUCCGGAACGUUAUUAACGCUGAGGUGUGAUGACGAGGCACUACGGUGCUGAAGUGACAAAUGCCCUGCUUCCAGGAAAAGCCUCUAAGCAUCAGGUAACAUCAAAUCGUACCCCAAACCGACACAGGUGGUCAGGUAGAG
RNAcentral lists this ribosomal RNA (280 nucleotides) under Klebsiella grimontii. RNAcentral's name for it is "partial 23S ribosomal RNA". It matches the Rfam family "Bacterial large subunit ribosomal RNA", at positions 1397 to 1676 of the family's 2925-position model. The record is from RNAcentral. Lineage: Bacteria; Pseudomonadati; Pseudomonadota; Gammaproteobacteria; Enterobacterales; Enterobacteriaceae.